This 49-nucleotide small RNA is filed under the name Sinorhizobium meliloti 2011. RNAcentral describes it as "putative ncRNA". The record is from RNAcentral. Lineage: Bacteria; Pseudomonadati; Pseudomonadota; Alphaproteobacteria; Hyphomicrobiales; Rhizobiaceae.
AGAAGCUUGGAGACCGACUCCGCAGGCUGAUCGGUACCGAAGAUCUCGU